GUAGUCACCCGGGUUGCCGCAAGGCCUCUCGGGUAACCUACCACCCUUUGUUUAUUACACUUUGUUGCUUUGGCAAGCCUGCCCUCGGGCUGCUGGCUCCGGCCGGCGAGCGCUUGCCAGAGGACCUAAACUCUGUUUGUCUAUAAUGUCUGAGUACAAAUAUAAAUCAAUCAAAACUUUCAACAACGGAUCUCUUGGUUCU
Molecule: unclassified non-coding RNA, 202 nt
Filed under: rhizosphere metagenome
Description: partial ribosomal RNA internal transcribed spacer region
Source: RNAcentral